This 852-nucleotide ribosomal RNA is filed under the name Escherichia coli. Its description in RNAcentral is "partial 23S ribosomal RNA". It matches the Rfam family "Bacterial large subunit ribosomal RNA", at positions 2091 to 2925 of the family's 2925-position model. Lineage: Bacteria; Pseudomonadati; Pseudomonadota; Gammaproteobacteria; Enterobacterales; Enterobacteriaceae. The record is from RNAcentral.
CCGUGAACCUUUACUAUAGCUUGACACUGAACAUUGAGCCUUGAUGUGUAGGAUAGGUGGGAGGCUUUGAAGUGUGGACGCCAGUCUGCAUGGAGCCGACCUUGAAAUACCACCCUUUAAUGUUUGAUGUUCUAACGUUGGCCCGUUAUCCGGGUUGCGGACAGUGUCUGGUGGGUAGUUUGACUGGGGCGGUCUCCUCCUAAAGAGUAACGGAGGAGCACGAAGGUUGGCUAAUCCUGGUCGGACAUCAGGAGGUUAGUGCAAUGGCAUAAGCCAGCUUGACUGCGAGCGUGACGGCGCGAGCAGGUGCGAAAGCAGGUCAUAGUGAUCCGGUGGUUCUGAAUGGAAGGGCCAUCGCUCAACGGAUAAAAGGUACUCCGGGGAUAACAGGCUGAUACCGCCCAAGAGUUCAUAUCGACGGCGGUGUUUGGCACCUCGAUGUCGGCUCAUCACAUCCUGGGGCUGAAGUAGGUCCCAAGGGUAUGGCUGUUCGCCAUUUAAAGUGGUACGCGAGCUGGGUUUAGAACGUCGUGAGACAGUUCGGUCCCUAUCUGCCGUGGGCGCUGGAGAACUGAGGGGGGCUGCUCCUAGUACGAGAGGACCGGAGUGGACGCAUCACUGGUGUUCGGGUUGUCAUGCCAAUGGCACUGCCCGGUAGCUAAAUGCGGAAGAGAUAAGUGCUGAAAGCAUCUAAGCACGAAACUUGCCCCGAGAUGAGUUCUCCCUGACUCCUUGAGAGUCCUGAAGGAACGUUGAAGACGACGACGUUGAUAGGCCGGGUGUGUAAGCGCAGCGAUGCGUUGAGCUAACCGGUACUAAUGAACCGUGAGGCUUAACCUUACAACGCCGAAG